Long non-coding RNA from Phyllostomus discolor (pale spear-nosed bat), 109 nucleotides. RefSeq lists it as uncharacterized. Lineage: Eukaryota; Metazoa; Chordata; Mammalia; Chiroptera; Phyllostomidae. The transcript is spliced from 2 exons. The record is from RefSeq and is a predicted model, not a curated record.
GGAACGAGACAGGGAAUGAGACAACAGGGAACCAGAAAGCAUAUCAUUGUGGUCGAUGUCCACCAAAGUGGUUAAUGUAUUCCAACAACUGCUAUUACAUCAGCACUGA